This is an unclassified non-coding RNA of Erinaceus europaeus (western European hedgehog), 296 nucleotides long. Its record names the gene 7SK. It matches the Rfam family "7SK RNA". From Rfam's summary of the family: 7SK was discovered as an abundant small nuclear RNA in the mid-70s but a possible function has only recently been suggested. Two independent studies have found that 7SK RNA binds the CDK9/cyclin T complex (known as elongation factor P-TEFb). NCBI's taxonomy places the organism in Eukaryota, Metazoa, Chordata, Mammalia, Eulipotyphla, Erinaceidae. The record is from Ensembl.
GGCUGUGAGGGCCAUCUGGCUGUGACAUCUAUCACCCCACUGAUCACCAGGGUUGAUUCAGCUGAUCUGUCUGGCUCAGCGGGUGUCCCCUUCCUCCCUCACCUCUCUGUGUGUGUCCCUCCCUAAGCUGCUUGAUCCUUUGGUCAAAGAGGAAAUUCUUUCCUGAAUAGAGAUGGACUGGUCUUCAGUCCAGGAUAGGAGUAGCUGCUCUCCCCUGCUAGAACCUCCAAACAAGCUCUCAAGAAGCAGAUACAGCAGUUAAUAGGCUUUGCCUACCUGAGGCUCCAAGUCAGAUC